This 460-nucleotide ribosomal RNA is filed under the name uncultured Pelobacter sp. RNAcentral's name for it is "bacterial SSU rRNA". It matches the Rfam family "Bacterial small subunit ribosomal RNA", at positions 923 to 1382 of the family's 1533-position model. The record is from RNAcentral. Lineage: Bacteria; Pseudomonadati; Thermodesulfobacteriota; Desulfuromonadia; Desulfuromonadales; Desulfuromonadaceae.
GCACAAGCGUGGAGCAUGUGGUUUAAUUCGACGCAACGCGAAGAACCUUACCUGGGCUUGACAUCCCGAUCGUACUUUCUGGAAACAGUUAGGUCAGUUCGGCUGGAUCGGUGACAGGUGCUGCAUGGCUGUCGUCAGCUCGUGUCGUGAGAUGUUGGGUUAAGUCCCGCAACGAGCGCAACCCUUGUCCUUAGUUGCCAUCAUUUAGUUGGGCACUCUAAGGAGACUGCCGGUGUUAAACCGGAGGAAGGCGGGGACGACGUCAAGUCAUCAUGGCCCUUAUGUCCAGGGCUACACACGUGCUACAAUGGCCGGUACGAAGGGCAGCGAUACCGCAAGGUGGAGCAAAUCCCAAAAAGCCGGUCUCAGUUCGGAUUGGAGUCUGCAACUCGACUCCAUGAAGUUGGAAUCGCUAGUAAUCGCGGAUCAGCACGCCGCGGUGAAUACGUUCCCGGGCCUU